GCAGCGUUGCUGAUCUGCGAUUACUAGCGACUCCGACUUCAUGAGGUCGAGUUGCAGACCUCAAUCCGAACUGAGACCGGCUUUUUGGGAUUCGCUCCACCUUACGGUAUCGCAGCCCUUUGUACCGGCCAUUGUAGCAUGCGUGAAGCCCAAGACAUAAGGGGGCAUGAUGAUUUGACGUCAUCCCCACCUUCCUCCGAGUUGACCCCGGCAGUCUCCUAUGAGUCCCCGCCAUAACGCGCUGGCAACAUAGAACGAGGGUUGCGCUCGUUGCGGGACUUAACCCAACAUCUCACGACACGAGCUGACGACAACCAUGCACCACCUGUACACCGACCACAAGGGGGCAACCAUCUCUGGCCGUUUCCGGUGUAUGUCAAGCCUUGGUAAGGUUCUUCGCGUUGCAUCGAAUUAAUCCGCAUGCUCCGCCGCUUGUGCGGGCCCCCGUCAAUUCCUUUGAGUUUUAGCCUUGCGGCCGUACUCCCCAGGCGGGGCGCUUAAUGCGUUAGCUACGACACAGAAACCGUGGAAAGGUCCCUACAUCUAGCGCCCAACGUUUACGGCGUGGACUACCAGGGUAUCUAAUCCUGUUCGCUCCCCACGCUUUCGCUCCUCAGCGUCAGUUACGGCCCAGAGAUCUGCCUUCGCCAUCGGUGUUCCUCCUGAUAUCUGCGCAUUCCACCGCUACACCAGGAAUUCCAAUCUCCCCUACCGCACUCUAGUCUGCCCGUACCCACUGCAAGCCCGAGGUUGAGCCUCGGGAUUUCACAGCAGACGCGACAAACCGCCUACGAGCUCUUUACGCCCAAUAAUUCCGGACAAUCGCUUGCACCCUACGUAUUACCGCGGCUGCUGGCACGUAGUUAGCCGGUGCUUUUUCUGCAGGUACCGUCACUUACGCUUCUUCCCUACUAAAAGAGGUUUACAACCCGAAGGCCGUCAUCCCUCACGCGGCGUUGCUGCAUCAGGCUUUCGCCCAUUGUGCAAUAUUCCCCACUGCUGCCUCCCGUAGGAGUCUGGGCCGUGUCUCAGUCCCAGUGUGGCCGGUCACCCUCUCAGGCCGGCUACCCGUCGUCGCCUUGGUGAGCCAUUACCUCACCAACAAGCUGAUAGGCCGCGAGUCCAUCCCCAACCAAAAAAUCUUUCCACCACCAGACCAUGCGGCCGGCAGUCAUAUCCAGUAUUAGACGUCGUUUCCAACGCUUAUCCCAGAGUCAGGGGCAGGUUACUCACGUGUUACUCACCCGUUCGCCACUAAUCCACCCAGCAAGCUGGGCAUCAUCGUUCGACUUGCAUGUGUUAAGCACGCCGCCAGCGUUCGUCCU
RNAcentral lists this ribosomal RNA (1325 nucleotides) under Curtobacterium sp. MG-2011-5-AR. RNAcentral's name for it is "partial 16S ribosomal RNA". Lineage: Bacteria; Bacillati; Actinomycetota; Actinomycetes; Micrococcales; Microbacteriaceae. The record is from RNAcentral.